RNAcentral lists this ribosomal RNA (446 nucleotides) under uncultured bacterium. RNAcentral's name for it is "partial 16S ribosomal RNA". It matches the Rfam family "Bacterial small subunit ribosomal RNA", at positions 338 to 795 of the family's 1533-position model. The record is from RNAcentral.
CCUACGGGAGGCAGCAGUCGAGAAUCAUUCACAAUGGGGGAAACCCUGAUGGUGCGACGCCGCGUGGGGGAAUGAAGUUCUUCGGAUUGUAAACCCCUGUCAUGUGGGAGCAAAUUAAAAAGACAGUACCACAAGAGGAAGAGACUGCUAACUCUGUGCCAGCAGCCGCGGUAAUACAGAGGUCUCAAGCGUUGUUCGGAAUCACUGGGCGUAAAGCGUGCGUAGGCUGUUUCGUAAAUCGUGUGUGAAAGGCGCGGGCUCAACCCGCGGACGGCACAUGAUACUGCGAGACUAGAGUAAGGGAGGGGGAACCGGAAUUCUCGGUGUAGCAGUGAAAUGCGUAGAUAUCGAGAGGGACACUCGGGGCGGAGGCGGGUUCCUGGACAUUAACUGACGCUGAGGCACGAAGGCCAGGGGAGCGAAAGGGAUUAGAUACCCGUGUAGUC